CUUAUUAAGAGGAGUGGAGGGAACAGGCCCUGCGAAACCCAGCAACCUACUAAUAAAGUGUGGUGCUAAUUCCUGCGGGAUUAUCCGAAAGAUAAGA
Molecule: non-coding RNA, 97 nt
Filed under: human gut metagenome
Description: SAM riboswitch (S box leader)
Rfam family: SAM riboswitch aptamer (S box leader)
About the family: The SAM riboswitch is found upstream of a number of genes which code for proteins involved in methionine or cysteine biosynthesis in Gram-positive bacteria. The SAM riboswitch acts at the level of transcription termination control.
Source: RNAcentral